GACGAACGCUGGCGGCGUGCUUAACACAUGCAAGUCGAACGGAAAGGCCCUGCUUUUGUGGGGUGCUCGAGUGGCGAACGGGUGAGUAACACGUGAGUAACCUGCCCUUGACUUUGGGAUAACUUCAGGAAACUGGGGCUAAUACCGGAUAGGAGCUCCUGCUGCAUGGUGGGGGUUGGAAAGUUUCGGCGGUUGGGGAUGGACUCGCGGCUUAUCAGCUUGUUGGUGGGGUAGUGGCUUACCAAGGCUUUGACGGGUAGCCGGCCUGAGAGGGUGACCGGCCCCAUUGGGACUGAGAUACGGCCCAGACUCCUACGGGAGGCAGCAGUGGGGAAUAUUGCACAAUGGGCUGAAGCCUGAUGCAGCAACGCCGCGUGCGGGAUGACGGCCUUCGGGUUGUAAACCGCUUUCGCCUGUGACGAAGCGUGAGUGAUGGUAAUGGGUAAAGAAGCACCGGCUAACUACGUG
This 468-nucleotide ribosomal RNA is filed under the name uncultured bacterium. RNAcentral's name for it is "partial 16S ribosomal RNA". It matches the Rfam family "Bacterial small subunit ribosomal RNA", at positions 28 to 507 of the family's 1533-position model. The record is from RNAcentral.